Molecule: ribosomal RNA, 420 nt
Filed under: uncultured bacterium
Lineage: Bacteria
Description: bacterial SSU rRNA
Rfam family: Bacterial small subunit ribosomal RNA
Source: RNAcentral
GAAUAUUGGACAAUGGGCGGAAGCCUGAUCCAGCCAUCCCGCGUGCAGGAAGGAGGCCCUCUGGGUCGUAAACUGCUUUUGGCGGGGGAGAAACGCACGGUUUUGACCGUGCCUGACGGUACCCGCCGAAUAAGCACCGGCUAACUCCGUGCCAGCAGCCGCGGUAAUACGGAGGGUGCGAGCGUUAUCCGGAAUCACUGGGUUUAAAGGGUGCGUAGGCGGCCGGCUAAGUCAGGGGUGAAAUCCCGCCGCUCAACGGUGGAACUGCCCUUGAUACUGGCCGGCUCGAAUGGGCGCGAGGCGGGCGGAACGUGGCAUGUAGCGGUGAAAUGCUUAGAUAUGCCACAGAACACCGAUUGCGAAGGCAGCCCGCCAGAGCUCUAUUGACGCUGAGGCACGAAAGCGUGGGGAGCGAACAGG